AUUGAACGCUGGCGGCAUGCCUUACACAUGCAAGUCGAACGGCAGCACGGGGGCAACCCUGGUGGCGAGUGGCGAACGGGUGAGUAAUACAUCGGAACGUGCCCGGUAGGUGGGGGAUAGCUCGGCGAAAGCCGGAUUAAUACCGCAUACGACCUGCGGGUGAAAGGCGGGGGAUCGCAAGACCUCGCGCUAUCGGAGCGGCCGAUGUCA
Molecule: ribosomal RNA, 210 nt
Filed under: uncultured bacterium
Lineage: Bacteria
Description: partial 16S ribosomal RNA
Rfam family: Bacterial small subunit ribosomal RNA
Source: RNAcentral